This 818-nucleotide ribosomal RNA is filed under the name Xenocriconemella macrodora. RNAcentral's name for it is "SSU rRNA". It matches the Rfam family "Eukaryotic small subunit ribosomal RNA", at positions 952 to 1789 of the family's 1831-position model. Lineage: Eukaryota; Metazoa; Nematoda; Chromadorea; Rhabditida; Criconematidae. The record is from RNAcentral.
CAUUUGCCAAGCGCGUCUUCAUUAAUCAAGAACGAAAGUCAGAGGUUCGAAGGCGAUCAGAUACCGCCCUAGUUCUGACCGUAAACGAUGCCAACUAGCGAUCCGCCGGCGGCUCUAAGGCCCUGGUGGGGAGCUUCCCGGAAACGAAAGUCUUCCGGUUCCGGGGGAAGUAUGGUUGCAAAGCUGAAACUUAAAGGAAUUGACGGAAGGGCACCACCAGGAGUGGAGCCUGCGGCUUAAUUUGACUCAACACGGGGAAACUCACCCGGCCCGGACACCGUGAGGAUUGACAGAUUGAUAGCUUUUUCAUGAUUCGGUGGUUGGUGGUGCAUGGCCGUUCUUAGUUCGUGGAUCGAUUUGUCUGGUUUAUUCCGAUAACGAGCGAGACUCCAGCCUGCUAACUAGUGCGAGCAUUACCGCUGUGCUCGUCUCACUUCUUAGAGGGAUUGGCUGCGUCUAGCGGCACGAAACGGAGCAAUAACAGGUCUGUGAUGCCCUUAGAUGUCCGGGGCUGCACGCGCGCUACACUGGCAAAGGCAGCGUGCUUGUCCGCCUCCGAAAGGAGCCGGUAAACCCUUGAAAAUUUGCCGUGAUUGGGAUCGGAAAUUGCAAUUAUUUUCCGUGAACGAGGAAUUCCUAGUAAGUGCGAGUCAUCAGCUCGCGUUGAUUACGUCCCUGCCCUUUGUACACACCGCCCGUCGCUGCCUAGAACUGAGCCAUUUCGAGAAUAUUCGGGAUCACCGGUUGCGGGUCCUUCACGGGGCACGCCUCUGGCCAGAGAACGAACGUAAUCGCAGUGGCUUGAACCGGGCAAAAGU